AGCCGUUCUCAGUUCGGAUCGGAGUCUGNAACCCGACUCCGUGAAGCUGGAUUCGCUAGUAAUCGCGCAUCAGCCAUGGCGCGGUGAAUACGUUCCCGGGCCUUGUACACACCGCCCGUCAAGCCAUGGAAGCCGGGGGCGCUUGAAGUGCGUUGCCGCAAGGCGCGCCCUAGAGCGAAACCGGUGACUGGGGCUAAGUCGUAACAAGGUAGC
RNAcentral lists this ribosomal RNA (213 nucleotides) under uncultured bacterium. RNAcentral describes it as "partial 16S ribosomal RNA". It matches the Rfam family "Bacterial small subunit ribosomal RNA", at positions 1280 to 1500 of the family's 1533-position model. The record is from RNAcentral.